This 1517-nucleotide ribosomal RNA is filed under the name uncultured bacterium. RNAcentral describes it as "bacterial SSU rRNA". It matches the Rfam family "Bacterial small subunit ribosomal RNA". The record is from RNAcentral.
AGAGUUUGAUCCUGGCUCAGAUUGAACGCUGGCGGCAGGCCUAACACAUGCAAGUCGAGCGGAAACGAGUUAUCUGAACCUUCGGGGGACGAUAACGGCGUCGAGCGGCGGACGGGUGAGUAAUGCCUAGGAAAUCGCCCUGAUGUGGGGGAUAACCAUUGGAAACGAUGGCUAAUACCGCAUAAUGCCUACGGGCCAAAGAGGGGGACCUUCGGGCCUCUCGCGUCAGGAUAUGCCUAGGUGGGAUUAGCUAGUUGGUGAGGUAAUGGCUCACCAAGGCGACGAUCCCUAGCUGGUCUGAGAGGAUGAUCAGCCACACUGGAACUGAGACACGGUCCAGACUCCUACGGGAGGCGACAGUGGGGAAUAUUGCACAAUGGGCGCAAGCCUGAUGCAGCCAUGCCGCGUGUGUGAAGAAGGCCUUCGGGUUGUAAAGCACUUUCAGUCGUGAGGAAGGUAGUGUAGUUAAUAGCUGCAUUAUUUGACGUUAGCGACAGAAGAAGCACCGGCUAACUCCGUGCCAGCAGCCGCGGUAAUACGGAGGGUGCGAGCGUUAAUCGGAAUUACUGGGCGUAAAGCGCAUGCAGGUGGUUUGUUAAGUCAGAUGUGAAAGCCCGGGGCUCAACCUCGGAAUAGCAUUUGAAACUGGCAGACUAGAGUACUGUAGAGGGGGGUAGAAUUUCAGGUGUAGCGGUGAAAUGCGUAGAGAUCUGAAGGAAUACCGGUGGCGAAGGCGGCCCCCUGGACAGAUACUGACACUCAGAUGCGAAAGCGUGGGGAGCAAACAGGAUUAGAUACCCUGGUAGUCCACGCCGUAAACGAUGUCUACUUGGAGGUUGUGGCCUUGAGCCGUGGCUUUCGGAGCUAACGCGUUAAGUAGACCGCCUGGGGAGUACGGUCGCAAGAUUAAAACUCAAAUGAAUUGACGGGGGCCCGCACAAGCGGUGGAGCAUGUGGUUUAAUUCGAUGCAACGCGAAGAACCUUACCUACUCUUGACAUCCAGAGAAUUUUCCAGAGAUGGAUUAGUGCCUUCGGGAACUCUGAGACAGGUGCUGCAUGGCUGUCGUCAGCUCGUGUUGUGAAAUGUUGGGUUAAGUCCCGCAACGAGCGCAACCCUUAUCCUUGUUUGCCAGCGAGUAAUGUCGGGGACUCCAGGGAGACUGCCGGUGAUAAACCGGAGGAAGGUGGGGACGACGUCAAGUCAUCAUGGCCCUUACGAGUAGGGCUACACACGUGCUACAAUGGCGCAUACAGAGGGCAGCAAGCUAGCGAUAGUGAGCGAAUCCCAAAAAGUGCGUCGUAGUCCGGAUUGGAGUCUGCAACUCGACUCCAUGAAGUCGGAAUCGCUAGUAAUCGUGGAUCAGAAUGCCACGGUGAAUACGUUCCCGGGCCUUGUACACACCGCCCGUCACACCAUAGGAGUGGGCUGCAAAAGAAGUAGGUAGUUUAACCUUCGGGAGGACGCUUACCACUUUGUGGUUCAUGACUGGGGUGAAGUCGUAACAAGGUAGCCGUA